UUAAUUGAAACCAAAAUAGAGGUAUAUCACUGUUAAUGAUAAAAUUGAGAACACCCUCCAAUUAAG
This 66-nucleotide transfer RNA is filed under the name Curculionoidea sp. 30 KM-2017. RNAcentral describes it as "tRNA-Asn". Lineage: Eukaryota; Metazoa; Arthropoda; Insecta; Coleoptera. The record is from RNAcentral.